This 385-nucleotide ribosomal RNA is filed under the name uncultured bacterium. RNAcentral describes it as "bacterial SSU rRNA". It matches the Rfam family "Bacterial small subunit ribosomal RNA", at positions 30 to 417 of the family's 1533-position model. The record is from RNAcentral.
AUUGAACGCUGGCGGCAUGCCUUACACAUGCAAGUCGAACGGCAGCGGACCUUCGGGUGCCGGCGAGUGGCGAACGGGUGAGUAAUAUAUCGGAACGUACCUUUCAGUGGGGGAUAACGUAGCGAAAGUUACGCUAAUACCGCAUAUUCUGUGAGCAGGAAAGCAGGGGAUCGCAAGACCUUGCGCUGAUUGAGCGGCCGAUAUCAGAUUAGCUAGUUGGUGAGGUAAAGGCUCACCAAGGCGACGAUCUGUAGCGGGUCUGAGAGGAUGAUCCGCCACACUGGAACUGAGACACGGUCCAGACUCCUAUGGGAGGCAGCAGUGGGGAAUUUUGGACAAUGGGCGCAAGCCUGAUCCAGCCAUGCCGCGUGAGUGAAGAAGGCCU